AUGCAGCACGAAAAGGGAGAAACCAAGCUUGACCCAGAGGCUCAGUCUCCAUCUUUCAAACCCUAAAGUCAGACCUGGAGUUUCUGACCUUGGACAGAUGCAGAGGUGGGUGCUUCAUGGCCAGAUGUGAAGCCUUGCUGACUAUAUCAGGGUACUCUGUAACAGCAGAGGUUCUGAUGCUAAGAGCAGCAAUACCUCCUCUUUACAUUUGUUGUUUUUAGGUAUUUUAGUUGUUUACAAGUGGGUUUUAGGGCUUGUGUUUGUGGGUUGAAAAUCGAACCAGAUGAAGCAUGGUGAAGGAGGAGGAAGAUUGUGGGUGAUGUGCUACCUGGAAAAGUCCACAUCCAGCACUUGAUGCUGACGGCCUUUUGUAAAGAGAUGCAGAGAGAGGAAGGCUUGAGUGAGCCACCUGGAAAGGACACAACCAGUGUUGCAGUAGAUUUGAGUGCUGAUUCGCAGCCCAUGGGAGCAGGACAGACAUAAAAUAACGGCAUCGUCGGAGCUUGCCCUGACCUGGACCACAUCCUGUCCUUCACUGUGCUGUCAGAAGGGAAGCUGUGCUGUGAGCCAUAUGUGUGUAGGCCUGGAGUUUGUGAGAUCUCUGCCCUUGAGAACUGUGCUGAAACCCGACACAUGUAACUGGUCACAGCCGCAUGAAGACCCGCCUGAGCUGAUCUCUCCACUGUGCAAGGUGGGUUUGAACCAUCACCUCUCUCUCUGUGUUGCUGUGACCUUCGUUGGCCAACGCUCAGGUGCACCUAAUGGCUUUUUCAGCAAUUUUGAUUCUGGAAGUUAUUUGAUCUGCUAAAUUAAGUCUCUCUCUCUCUCUCUCUCUCUCUCUCUCUCCCCGUGCUGCUUAACGGUAACAGCGUUGGAUACUUGUGCGUAAUUCUUCCGGAUUUUAGCCCACAAAUGACUGUCACUACUUGUGGGGUCUUGGUGAAGAGCUAUCUGUAAAAAAUGGGUUUGGGUAGGUUUUAGAGAGGAAGAAAACGAGGGGAAGGGGGAACGAUAAACUCAACUUUAAACAGAAAAAGUAGAUAGAAAGGAAAGCUGAAAAAGAAGAAGUCGAAGAUGGGAAAAGGGAAGAGUGUUGAAGACAACAAAAGUAGGACUUUUCUAUUUCUUUUUCUUUUACAGCAACAAUAAAAAAAGAAGAAAAUAAAACGAAUCAAUUAAGCAAAAUACUGUCAUUCAACUUUGAUCCUCUUUUAGUAGGAUUUACUCAGAGCAAAGCUGAGGAUCCUUAAACUGUAAGUCUCGGUUUUUAGAGGUUUUCAUUACGGAAGUAGUCAAAGUCAAUAACAGUUGGCUUUAUCAUUUGAUAUUGGUUGUCCUAUUGAAUUUAGUCUAAAAGGUUGUACUCUAGUAGUCAUGGCUAAUCCUUUGAAGCAAUAUUUUACGUCACUGUGAUCAAGGUUGCAAGGCUUCAAAAACAUAUCAUGCAGCUUGAAAAGCGCAAAAUUUUACACUGUUUAUCAUUAUCUGUGUCAAGACUUGCUUGCAAUUCGAACAUAGUAAGGGCGUGAAGCAAGGUGAACUCGGUAGUUCAUUUUAGAUAGUUUUCUAUAGCACAUUUUCAAAAUUGAAAUCAAAAGCCCUCUGGAACUUAAUGUUGGAAUCCAAAGAAAACACUACCUCCUUUUUCGCAGCAACCGGGGUUUUUUCUUUAAGAAUCUGCGACUAAAGGAGGGCGUUCUUGUAAGAUUGAAUUGCCAUCAGGCCGUAGGUCUCUGUACUUGUUUGGAUUUGGAGGCUUCAGAGGGACCUUCAUUCUACCAUCUGUGCAUUUUAUACAAAACAAUGCAAAAUAUGUUUGUGCCA
Physcomitrium patens is the source of this 1824-nucleotide long non-coding RNA. RefSeq lists it as uncharacterized. Lineage: Eukaryota; Viridiplantae; Streptophyta; Bryopsida; Funariales; Funariaceae. The record is from RefSeq and is a predicted model, not a curated record.